Molecule: ribosomal RNA, 770 nt
Filed under: Dolichomastix tenuilepis
Lineage: Eukaryota; Viridiplantae; Chlorophyta; Mamiellophyceae; Dolichomastigales; Dolichomastigaceae
Description: partial Eukaryotic large subunit ribosomal RNA
Rfam family: Eukaryotic large subunit ribosomal RNA
Source: RNAcentral
GGAAAAGAAACUAACCAGGAUUCCCUCAGUAACGGCGAGUGAAGCGGGAAAAGCUCAACAUGAAAACCUGGGAGCCUCGCUCUCCGGAUUGUAUUCUCUAGAGGCGUGUUCAGUGGCCGCUCGCGUAUAAAUCCUUUGGAAAAGGGUGUCAUAGAGGGUGAGAUCCCCGUAUGUGACGCGAUGUGGGCUGCGUUACGACGCGUUUUCGGCGAGUCGGGUUGCUUGAGAUCGCAGCCCUAAUUGGGUGGUAAACUCCAUCUAAAGCUAAAUACUGACAAGAGACCGAUAGCAAACAAGUACUGUGAAGGAAAGAUGCAAAGAACUUUGAAAAGAGAGUUAAAAGUACCUGAAACCGCUAAGGGGGAAGCAAAGGCCGCCAGUACGCGCCAGGAAGUCUCCAGCGUCGGCUCUGCCGGCGUGUAUCGAGUUCCGAGCGGGUUCACGUGGGCGUGGCGCGCGGGAUGGGCGGGGGGUGCUGACCAAGCCCCCCUGGCUACCGUGUGCCGUGCCGAGGCCUUUCCCCGCAAGGGUGAGGACGUGGACGAAAUGGCGAUCUCUGACCCGUCUUGUAACACGGACCAAGGAGUCUAACAUGCCUGCGAGUGCAAGGGUGGCAAGCCCACGCGCGUAAUGAAAGUAAAGGCACCUGGUGCCGAGAUGGGAAUCGCAAGAUGCACCAUCGCCCGACCAUGCGCUUCUGCAAACGGUUUGAGGAAGAGCAGGUAUGCUAGGACCCGAAAGAUGGUGAACUAUGCCUGAGUAGGGUGAAG